Onychostoma macrolepis is the source of this 875-nucleotide long non-coding RNA. RefSeq lists it as uncharacterized. NCBI's taxonomy places the organism in Eukaryota, Metazoa, Chordata, Actinopteri, Cypriniformes, Cyprinidae. The record is from RefSeq and is a predicted model, not a curated record. The transcript is spliced from 7 exons.
UUGGCGUGCUUGUCUUCCCGCCCCUUCUCAUUUAAAAAAAACCCCAAACAAACAAAAAAAGGUUUGCCACUCACCACUUAAACACGGGCACCUGCUUGUCAAUGGAUAAACUCUAGGCCUAAUCUAUCAAGGUACGAUGUGUGUUUAAUUUUAUAUUAGCCGAGUUACUGCUGCUUUUAUCUAACUGAAUAUUUUUUUCAACGCGACGCGGCUGGCGGACCGGCGGGAGACUCGUGAAGACGAAAAGCCGCGUAACAAUACUUUAAAUAGGUAUGAAUCUGAGGAGUCUGCACAGGCCUAGGAAUAUCAUUUUAUCCUGAUCUAUUCAAGGAAACCUCGAGCCUAGUGAGCUGCCCAUGGAGGGAGUAUUUUAAGGCAUCAUCUGCACAAAGUGUGUUCCAAAAGGUUGAGGGGGUUAGAAGCAUGAUCCAAGUCUCUGGCAAAAGAAGGCUGGCAGCAGUUGAGACCAGAUGCAACUAGACUUGGACCCAACCCUCUGGCAGGCAGCAUUGGGAAUCAGUGGGAGAACUAAAAACAGCAUGUGAAUUCAAAGUCAUGUGGAUGAAGGACAAGAUGUCACUGAGCAAAAAGCAUUUGUACAUGAUGAGCUUGACAGCCUCAAUCCUCAUUCACUUUCAUUACAUGGAAAAGAGUAGGUAGGAAAAUCACCUAUAAACUCAACAUUUCGUGUUCCAUGGAAGAUAGAAAGUCAAACGGUCUGGAAAGACGUGGGGAAGGAGUCUGACAACAGCCAGUGCUCCACACAGAGAUCUGAUCAUCAUCCAGUCUGUCUGGAAUGACAUGAAGAAACAGAACAAACUGAGACAGAUUAAAUAAAAAAAAAUACAAUUUUAUGAAUAUAAUUUCAACUUCAU